UCUGAGACCUUUACAAAGGAGUCCGUGAGAUGAUGUGUCAAGAAUUGCCUUCUUAGUGGGUCGGAGAUACAUCAGCCCCUUUUAUCAAUAAUACUGCAUGGAUAGACAGUUGCAAUAGCUUCCAACCCACAGCUCAGUCCACUGGAAUGGAAGGUCUGGAAUAGAUUUGUGGUAUUCUCUGUUCUUUCAUUGCUGAUAUCCAUGCAAAAACAAAAGGACCUCUUGCAUGUUUACCUAGUGGUGACAUACUUGAAGAUAGUCAGACAGUAAGCCAACCCAUGUCUUCCCAUGGAGCUCCAUGAUGGGCGAGGCUGCUGAUUGUGGGUUGCUCUCCUCGCUGGGUCCUGGGGAGAAGCCAGGACGAAACUUGAAAAUAUAUUUGAGUUUUUAAGUCAUGUCUUCCUGACAUGCAGGAUAAACCACUUCAGAAGUGACCCUGUUCCAGGCAUUCUAAUGUCCUUUCCGUGCCCCAUGCAGCAUUUCUCUCUGUAGCCUUAUAUGGUUUGUUUGUAUGACUUUAAAAAUAAGAGUGUAUGUGCUCACGAGAUGGCUUUCAGAGGGUCUUAUUAGCAUCUUGGCCAUGUGGUGCUACAUUUCAUUUCAGUUAGAAGAGCAAAACUGAAGUGAGUUGGAGAAAGACCAUAAAGUGUGUGUGUGUGCAUGUGUGUGUGUGUGUGUGU
This is a long non-coding RNA of Perognathus longimembris pacificus (Pacific pocket mouse), 680 nucleotides long. RefSeq lists it as uncharacterized. NCBI's taxonomy places the organism in Eukaryota, Metazoa, Chordata, Mammalia, Rodentia, Heteromyidae. The record is from RefSeq and is a predicted model, not a curated record. The transcript has 2 exons.